Small nucleolar RNA from Gadus morhua (Atlantic cod), 83 nucleotides. Its record names the gene SNORD79. It matches the Rfam family "Small nucleolar RNA SNORD79". Rfam says of the family: snoRNA U79 or Z22 is found in intron 7 of the gas5 gene in humans and is also present in mice. U79 is a member of the C/D class of snoRNA which contain C (UGAUGA) and D (CUGA) box motifs. NCBI's taxonomy places the organism in Eukaryota, Metazoa, Chordata, Actinopteri, Gadiformes, Gadidae. The record is from Ensembl.
AACUAUAAGUGAUGUCAAUGUUUGAUAAACAUUGGGAAUCUCUCUGAUUAACAAUGACGGAUAACUUUAUUGCUGAUGCAGUG